Molecule: transfer RNA, 72 nt
Filed under: Pristionchus pacificus
Lineage: Eukaryota; Metazoa; Nematoda; Chromadorea; Rhabditida; Neodiplogasteridae
Rfam family: tRNA
About the family: Transfer RNA (tRNA) molecules are approximately 80 nucleotides in length.
Source: Rfam by way of RNAcentral
GGGGGGAUAGCUCAGUGGUAAAGCACCCGCAUACGUAUCGGAAGGUCGGGGCUUCGACUCCCUCUGCCUCCA